Molecule: long non-coding RNA, 5191 nt
Filed under: Olea europaea subsp. europaea
Lineage: Eukaryota; Viridiplantae; Streptophyta; Magnoliopsida; Lamiales; Oleaceae
Rfam family: Small nucleolar RNA R44/J54/Z268 family (bases 890-975)
Source: RNAcentral
CUCCUUUCUUCUUCCCUCUUUUCUACUUGUUCUCUCCCACAGUUUCUCUCUAAAUGCUGAUAAUUUCGCCAAAUCAUUCCACAAAACUGGAUUUUCUGUUUUUAUUUAAUACUCAUUAUUUGAACCUUGGUCUUUCCAAUGAUUCUUCCUCUGCUUUGUAGGUUUUCUUCCUUGUUUCGGCAGAUGCCAGCUUUGAUACUUUUGGUAACAGUUCGGCUUUAGAUAAAUUUUUAUUGAUUUCACUAAUUGGAUUUCGUAUAAGAACUUUUGAUGGUUCGAUGGAGUUUUUCCUUCUGUGUAGAUUCUUGUGUCUUUGAAAAAAAAAUCGUAUUUCUCGUUUAUCUCUUGGAUCGUAACUUGAAGUGAUGUGAUUUCAUAGUCCGAUUAAAGAAUCUGGGUUUCUGGUAUUUUCUUGAAACUAGUUAUUUUGAAUCUAAGGUCUUCAUUCACUGUUUUGUGGCUUUCUUCUUGGCCCAAUUUCUUACACAAAUACAGUCCAUUCUGUGUACACAAUUCCAGAUCACAGACAUUGUUGUAACUAGGUAAUAUUUGCUUCGUGGUUGUCAAUAUAAUUGUUGAUUAUUUCACAUUUUUAGUUUCAAUUCAGCUUCCCUUUAAUCAUGGCUCUAUUUAAUUAUUUAUGCAUUGUUCCUUUUUUAAUUUCAUUACUUGGCUCUUAAGAUAGGUUAUUGCUUGUUUGACUAAAAUCAUACUUUAAAUAAGCCUCUGCAUCACCAGGUAAAGAUAUGAAUUCGUGGUUUCGAGACAUUAAACAUUAUUUUAUUCUAUAUUAUUUUAUUUUUUUUGUAAAUUUUUUAGUUUGAUUUUGUUAUCUAAGCUAAAAUUCAGUAGUGAAUAAUGUGUUUUCCUUAAUUUAAGUCAAUUUGUCAAUGCAAGUGACGAUAAAACAGAUAGUGACUUCAGAACUCUUUUUAGAGUAUGAUGAUUUGUCGAUGGGAAUCUCUCCAAUGCAUUAGCUAAAUUUUAAUUUAAUUUAUUUUUUUCUUUGCCUUUACAAUUAGUUCUAGAGUAAAAUAAAUAAAAAUAGAUCCGAUUGUUUCCUUUUACAAAAUUUGAGAAUUUUUUCAUAAAGAAUGUGAAGGGUUUACCAGUGAUUUAUUGCAUGAUUAUGAGGUUAAACUACGAUUAUAUAUGUUUAUGAGUCAUCGCAGCUGAGACUAUAAUAUUUUUCCCAGUUACGUCAAAAAGAUUUUAUACUUUUAUUGAAUUCAUUACUUUGAUUUUUAUUUAUUUAUUUCAUUUUUGAUCUUUUAAAAAGAUAACAUGUCGCAUAUCAUGCAAUAAUUCAGCCUCGUGCUCUUCCAGCUUGUGUUUUGUUCGGUUUGAUUUUUCUGAAUCAGCACCAGCAGCAAUUAUAAUUCGGUCAAGAAAUUGUAAACAGUUGAUAUAUUUCAUGAAUUUAAGUUUCUGGUUUGCCUGUGAUGCAUUUCCUAUUACACAUUAUCAGAGAUUAAUGAUGAUGAUGAUGAUACGAAAUUGUCACUACCUCUGAGCAAUUUACCAUGAAUUAUUAUCUAGAUUAUUUUAUAAAUUGUUGCACUUCCCAAGUUAUAUAUAUAUAUAUAUAUUAUUUUAUUUUAUUUUUUGCUUGUGUACCAAUGUUUGGACUAAUGUGGUUUUCCAUGCUUUCUCCAUUUGCAAAUCUACUUGAUGUAAUCUUUGUUGGUAGCUUUUUGAGUGAAAAUUGUUUAUAUUCAAGUUAUCUACCUUGUCUAAUCUUACAAGUUUGUUUCAUUUUACCAAUACUAGGUAAUCUGUGUGUUUUAUCAACGAAAACCUGUGGACCAUCCUUUUUGCUCAUUUGGUCCAAGACGGCACCAUCAGCCGCGAGACACAGUUCGGUGAGGUCAAUUUUUGUAUUUCGCUGAUUUUCUCUAUAUUAUUAUUAUUAAUUUUUUUUUUACAUGUGUGGAUUUUGCUCUUUAUUUUUUAUUUCAAUUUUUGGAUAUGUUAGGAAUUUGUUAUUUGAUUUUUAUUUUUUUUUAAAUUAAAGUUUUCUGUUUUUACUACAAUCUUCUCAAGGAAGAAUAAAUACUUUACUUUUGAUUCUUGAGGUUUCCUAGUCAUAUUUGAAUAAGGCCUAAUGUAUUUGUGAUGUAAGAAUAUCUCCAAGAGACUCUUUAAACUUGAAAUGUUCUCUAUUUUGAAGGGUCAAUCUCUUAAAUCAUGCUCCAAAAGACUCUUUAAUUUAACAUUUUUAUUUAGAGAAUUUGGAUAGCAAAACUCACUCUCUAUAAUUAAAUGCAUUCAAAUUAUUUCAAUUUUCAAUAUAAGAAAAUAAUAUAAUAAUUUAGAGAAAAGCUAGUUAAAAUAAAAGGUAGAGAAAAAUAAUAUAUAUUCUUUGGGAGUACUAAAAUUAAGUGUUAGAUAUAAAGAGCCUAUUGGAGUAUUUCAAAAAUUUUACUCUUUAAAUUUAUAGAUGUUCUCUAAAUAAUGGAAUAUCCUCUUUAAAAAUAGAGAUUGUCUUGGCGGUGCUGCAAAUAGAGGGGGGUCAUAAAUCGAUUGAUGGGCUUCAAGGGGCAGUUCUAGAGGUAAGUGCAUUACCUUGUUAUUUCUUCCGAUUUCUUGAACAUGGUUUGUUGCUCAUUGUCAUUUUAUAUUGCUGAAUAUUUGUUCUUUUGUGACUUGGUUUUGGAAUCAAUGCUCUUUUUGUUAUUAGUAUAUUUUAUUGGUCUUGUGGGGUUGUCUUAAAUUUCUUUUUUUUAAUCUCAUUUUUGCUCUUUAAACUUUCUUGAUAACAUUUGCUGUUUUUGUCUUGUGAGGUAGUCUUAGAUUAAAUUUAUGAUCUGGGUGGUGUUUGACAUUUGCUUGUUUAUGUGAUUUAAGCUGUCAAAAAUUUUAUUGUCUGUGGAAGUUGGAAGGAGGACUGCAGUGCUUGGGGUUGGAUGGAGAAAAACUCUGUUUCAUUUCAUGUAAGCAAAACUUAAUUUUCUGCCUUGGUAGCUGUUAAAAAGUUCAGUUUAUUGGAAGGAAAGAAAUCAAGAUCAAGAAAACAGCCUAUUGCUGAUGGCUCUGCGCACUUUGCAUUGGAUUCCGGGAAGAGUUCUAUUCCUACUGAACUCUCCUCUAUUAUAUUGGUAAGAUUUUUGUCUGUAUCUUCACUGUGAUUGUGACUGUCACUGUUAUUUUCAUUGUCUUCUCCCUUCUCUUCACCUUCACUCAUUUGCAUAAUUGGAUCAUAUUUUGAUGUAUCAAUCCUUGUGCAAACUGUUUAUGAAGCUUCGCCAAUUUCUGUUUCAGUGUUUUCAAAUUCUCUCUCUUUGCAGACCACUAAUUCCAAUUUGCUAUUUUCUUUCAUCUCCUAAUUAGUAGAAGUUCCCUCGUUUGUUACUUCGACUCCAAUAGCUCCUGACAUUGUCUUUUCUUUUUUUCUUUUUUCAUCUUUUUCAUCUUUUUCAUUUGUGAACAGUGCCAGUUACUCUAUAUAAUUUUUUGUCCACCUACAGAAGAUAGUAUCCCAUGAGGAAAAAGUUCGGUAAUUUUUUUUUUUGUGAAUCUAUCUUAUUGAUUUAACGCCCUGAAAAUGUAUCACUUUGUAGAAUGUAGUCUUCAGGUCUUGGCGGCAUACAACCCACUUGUAAGUGCUUCAUUUUCUUCAUUUCAACCUUUCUAUGUUAUGAGAGUUGUGAAAUUCUAUUACUAUGCACUAACUGCAAAGAGUCAUGUUUAUAUAAUGCAUAAUAUGAUGAAUGACUGCAAUUCUUAAAAUCUACAAUCAAUAACAUUAACCAGAAGAGAUCUCAAGGAUACGUGGUCUCAUUAAGUGAAGUCUACUUUAUAGACUUAUGCAAUUAUAUAUCCAAUCAAAUUUCCAUGAAAAUAGCAUUUCCCUAUCACAUUAGUAAAAUGCUUUCGAAUUAAUCCUUGCUACAUCCUUAUAAAAUUACCACCAUCCUGGGUAUUGAAAAAUGGUUACAUUCGUACUUAAAUAGCCUGGUGCUCACAUCUUUUCCCAUUUUAAAACAAAUAUUCUCUUGCAUAUCUUGUUUAUUUUUUGCCAUGAUUUUAUCAAUAUGAGCACCCUCAAUGUCGUCAUCAUCCUUGGUCAAGUCAAUUUCUUCUUCACGAUUCUUUGUUUCGUCUUUCAGCUUAAGUUUGAGAGGCAAUUUAUUAUCAAGCGUUGUUAUAUGUAUUCUCCCUUAAUAACUAUUAAAGAGCUAUCAGCAAUAGGCUUCUCAUUCUGGAGAAAGACUCUUCAAAUGGUUUGCUAAUCUGAAAAAUUGAGCAUUCUCCCUAACUAACAGUUACAGACACUUUUCUACCAAUUUGGCUGCCAGUUGACAGUUUGCUAAUCUUUUGCCAACCACACUCAAGUUUUCAUUUUGGAAUUCUCCCUUUAGUCAUGUGGUCUGUGCAAAAAAAAACUCUUGAAAUGGUUUAUUUAGAUAUUGUUGACCGUAGAGUAUCUGCAUUCAAAUUUUGUUCUGCAUCGAGACCUUGAAGUACGUUUAUGAAUACUGCUUUAUUAAUUUAUUUAUGUUUCUUGGAAAAUGGUUUUAUGAAUUGAUUUUCUGGUGAAGUUAAAUAGUACUUGAGAAGGCUAGAUUAUUUUUUCUUGCCAGACUUUGAUAAUACUUAAAUAAUUAAAUUGUCAAACUUGAGUGUAAGAUCUUUUGGAAAAUUAUGCGGUCUAUUUUUCUUGCCUAGGUAGUUGGAACUCCCAAUUACAUGUGAACUUAUAAAUGUUGCUUGUGAUUUUGAAUUUAAAAACUUAGUCCCUUGAUAUGUCUAUCAUAUAACGUUGCUACAUAAUUUAGUCUCUUCCAUUUUACUUAGCCUAUCGUUUCUUUCACAUAUGUCUAUUAAAAUCUAAUUGCCGUUCUUGCAGAUUUUCCCCAAGGCAGUAUUGACUUUGGUACAUUUUGCCACCAUAUUUACUAUCGCCCUCUCUGAAUUCAUUAGCAUUUAAUGAAUUACGCAUGUUUAAAAUGUGACAAAUCAGUGAUAUGUACAUUUAUACUGAAUAUAUUAUGAUCUAUGUAAGAAGGUUCAACUUUACCACAUGUUUUUCUUUGUGAAACCAUAUGUACCCAGAGAUCCCAUGCCAUUCAUGAUCUGUACAACUUUUUAACCAUUUGCCUAAUUCGCUACAUUUUUUUUACCACGAUCAAUAUUAAAACUUAUUUCUAGAUUAUAAGAUUAAAGUGGCUUUAAAAAAAAGUCAAAAUAC